AAGACCCUGCAAGACUGAAGCAGUGCUUGGAGUCGGAGAGGAGAGAGUCAGACAAUGUGCACAUUUAUUUCUUUGGAUUAAAGAGGAAGUGGAGAGUUUCUAUUUGGGAUGAUGAUAAAGUUUUGGAAAUGGUAGCCAUGAAUGUUGCACAGUAUUGUUGAAGGUAAUUAAUGCCACGGAUUUAUACACUUAAAAUGGUUAAAAUUUAAUGGGUGUAUUUUAUGAUUUUUUUUUUAAGGAAGUGGGUUGGUCUAUCCAUAGACUAGUCCAGGGUAAUUAACAAACAAUUGCCAUCUUGUUCCCUCUUGAUUUCAAAAGGCUUGCUGACUUUCUGUCCCUUCUGUAGGGUUGACUUAUCCUGGGAGCAGUGACAAAAGCUGGCUCUUGUUGUAGGAACCAUACAGAUGCUGAUACUCAAUCUAAUUCUGGGGCAUUUGAGAGCAUAUGCAGCUUCUCUAGCUCCUAAGACUUCAAUGCUUAAGUAUUGGAAUGCCUUUUAUCCACCAAAAGAUGUACCUAAGAGUUUGUCGCUGGGGUAGACUCUCCUACUUUUCCUACAGAAAUGAUAACCCAUUAUCACUGAGUAUAGGCACUCAAUAAAUUUUUUCGAAUGCCAUUGCCAACUCGUUUUUCUCUCACUUCCAGAACUGAAAACUUGAGUGCAGAGUUGGAAUAGGUAAAGGCUUUUGGAUUUGUGGCUCAGACUUACUUCACUCUCCCCUAUCUGGGACUAUGAAUGUUCCCUAUCUGGGACUAUGAGUGUCUUUACUACCCAGAGUUCAGAGAACACUAGAAUAGCAAGGUUGAAAGAGGCUUGAAAAGUCCCCUGUUUGCCACCCCAGUGAUGCCUGUCUUAUGGUCACAGCCUUUGGUCACACACAGGUGUGGCUUCUAUCUUUGAGAAAGGUCAUACCCUGUGACCAUCACUCACCCCAGCUCCUCAGAGAGCCCCUCAACAUUUCAGACAUAAACAUUUUUGAAGUAUCUUCCACCAAUCCAGAGGCUUAUAGUUCUGAAAUCCCUGUAUUGGGUCCAGAUUGGAUUAUUUUAAUAUUCCAGGAAGAUGCUUUACAGUUGAGACAUUUUCAGUUCAAUUCACAUUUUCUACUUGUAAUUUCUAGCUGGAAAUUACCUAUGGAAGCUGAGUCACCUACCUCGCUCCUGGAGCCCGCUGGCUGUUUCCAAGGCCUUCUUCAUUAUUCAAACCACGACUCCAUCACAGGAAUACCCAAAGCAACAUUUGAUAGUUGUGGAAGAUUUUUACCCUCACAAGUCAUGAAUACUUUCUGUUUAUCGCUUACACUGAGGAUUUAUGACUAUCUAAGUGUUGUAUUUCCGAAGGGAAGCAUCCUAUCCUCAGACUCCCGGCUGUCACCGUCCUGACCUGCCACCUGUGUCACAUCCCAUCAAGUGCUGUGGAUGAGCCAGGUACCAGUAAACCAGCCCCCGAGGCUGGAGAAAUGUUGGAUGUAGAUGCUCACAGAAUCAUUCAUCAAAUCUUGGAAGCUUCGGAGAGAAGUGCGUAAAAUGAAAAUUUAGUUCCAGAGAAAUAGAGCCUCAAUUUAAUACCAUCUACCAAAGCACUGCCACGUCUGUCAUCUUGGGAUGAGGUCAGAGAUCCUAAAUCAAGAGAGGAUGAAGGCUCUCCUGGCGGGGGUGGCCCCAGGGUCUGGAGCAUGCCCAGGUGAACACCUGAGAUAAAUAUGACAAAGUCACUUGCUCCAGAUCAUGUUUGAAAGUGAAGCAUAUAACUUCUACAUUCUUAUCAUGUCAAGCUGCCCGCCAGCCAUGCCAUGAAACUUCCUUCAAAGAGAACCAGUUGUCUCUCCUCUGAUGCGUUGGAAAGAGGGGUCACUCUGUUGGCCAAAUACCCCAAUUCCCUUCUGGAGCUCUCCAACUCUCUGUUAACUUGGACCUCUUCCAGUGGACCAAACAUUUGGUAUAAAUGGAACUCUCAAGAAGAGGAAAUAAAAGAAUUAAACACACUUUCCAGGCUGUGUUAUAGGUUUCUGUACAGAUAAAAACACUUCAAAUUCAAAAGCAACUUUGAUACUAAAAAACAGGACAAUUACCACAGAGAAAAGGGCAUUUGUGUAAUAGCUGAAAAUCUGGGAAGCAUUUAUCCGCAUCCAUGUUUUGGCCUCAGGAGGACCUAAAUUGCAAAGGAACUCAUCACACAGUGAUCUGAUAGAACAUCCAGCUCCCACAGAAAGAAAAAUUCUUGUGUUCUCUGGGUUUGUGUAGUAUCAGUACUAAUAAAGAAUGAAUGAAAGUUGACAUC
Molecule: long non-coding RNA, 2281 nt
Filed under: Sus scrofa (pig)
Lineage: Eukaryota; Metazoa; Chordata; Mammalia; Artiodactyla; Suidae
Description: lncRNA (ENSSSCG00025007943.1)
Source: RNAcentral